RNAcentral lists this ribosomal RNA (253 nucleotides) under uncultured bacterium. Its description in RNAcentral is "partial 16S ribosomal RNA". It matches the Rfam family "Bacterial small subunit ribosomal RNA", at positions 524 to 776 of the family's 1533-position model. The record is from RNAcentral.
UACGUAGGGGGCAAGCGUUGUCCGGAAUUACUGGGCGUAAAGCGUGCGCAGGCGGUUUUGUAAGCCAGAUGUGAAAGCCCCGGGCUCAACCUGGGAACUGCAUUGGAAACUAACGGGCUCGAGUGUGGCAGAGGGGGGUGGAAUUCCACGUGUAGCAGUGAAAUGCGUAGAGAUGUGGAGGAACACCGAUGGCGAAGGCAGCCCCCUGGGCUAACACUGACGCUCAGGCACGAAAGCGUGGGGAGCAAACAGG